This 850-nucleotide ribosomal RNA is filed under the name uncultured archaeon. RNAcentral's name for it is "bacterial SSU rRNA". It matches the Rfam family "Archaeal small subunit ribosomal RNA", at positions 18 to 873 of the family's 1478-position model. The record is from RNAcentral.
CGGAGGCUACCGCUAUUGGAGUUCGAUUAAGCCAUGCGAGUCGAGAGUCCUCGGGACUCGGCGUACCGCUCAGUAACACGUGGGUAACCUGCCCUAUGCUGGGGAAUAACCUCGGGAAACUGAGAAUAAUGCCCCAUAGCCCACUACGCCUGGAACGGUGAGUGGGUCAAAGCUCCGGCGGCAUAGGAUGGGCCUGCGCCGUAUCAGGUUGUAGGGGGUGUAAAGUACCCUCUAGCCAUCAACGCGUACGGGUGUUGGGAGACAUUGCCCGGAGAUGGAUUCUGAGACAUGAAUCCAGAYCCUACGGGGUGCAGCAGGCRCGAAAACUUGGCAAUGCGAGCAAUCGUGACCAGGGAACUCCAAGKGCGUAGGGUAAGACCUACGCUUUUCUUGACUCUUCAAAGGUCUUGGAAUAAGGGGUGGGUAAGGACGGUGCCAGCCGCCGCGGUAAUACCGGCGCCUCAAGKGGUAKWCGCUUUUAUUGGGUCUAAAACGUCUGUAKYCGGUCUGGUGCAUUCGUGGGUAAAUCAACCCGCUCAACGGGUUGAAUUCUGCGAGCACGGCCAGACUUGGGACCGGGAGAGGUGUGGGGUACUCUCAGGGUAGGGGUAAAAUCCUGUCAUCCUGAGAGGACCACCUGUUGCGAAGGCGCCACACUAGAACGGAUCCGACGGUCAGGGACGAAACCUAGGGGCACGAACCGGAUUAGAUACCCGGGUAGUCCUAGGUGUAAACGCUGUGGACUUGAUGUUGGGGGCGCUCCGAGCGCUCUCAGUGUCGAAGCGAAGGUGAUAAGUCCACUGCCUGGGGAGUACGGUCGUAAGGCUGAAACUUAAAGGAAUUGGCGGGG